UUACAGGCAUGAGCCACCGAGCCCAGGAACAAAUGUUUCAAUAUCUGACCAUGUUAACACAUUACUAGGGCCCUAAAGGACACUGAAGCUUGAGCUGUGUAAGCAUCAUGGUAUAAGCAACCCCAAUGUGCCUCUGGGACCCCUCUGACUUUCAGUCUUUUCAUCCAUAUAAUGAUCAAAACAAUUCUAACAUAUGUAACCAGAUAUGUUAGAAUUUUUUUUGGUGAGAAUAGAUAUUUUUUUUGGUGAGAAUCAGAAAUGGACGAAGACGUAAAGCUUCUGGAACCUAAAAAUGCUGCCUACAGGGUCACGAUGAUGACCCUGAAGACCACAGUGACGUGGGUUGUGCAGGAACUCCCUAGACUUCUUUGGUUUUAGGGGUCAGCACUCCUACGGGGUCUAAUGUUCUGCCAAAAGCUUGCCCUUAGAGACCAGAAACUCUAAUAUGAGACCUUCCAAGCUUAAGGCUUUGAUCCCAGUUAAAUGACAUCUCUCUGGAAGGCAUGGCACGUGAGGCUGUAAUCAGUUUCCAUACCUUCCACCCCACCACUCCCCAGAGAGAAAUGUGACAAUGAGCUUUAGCUCCGUAGAAUCCGGACUUCAUGGAACCUCUCUGGGUUGGCUUCUCAAUCAAUUUCAGAGCUGUGAGCUGAAAAAAAAUAGCAAGAGAGAGGCCAGAGUUAUUCAGGAGACUUCUGCUUUGCUGGGGGCUUCCACAGCCCUGACCAACCGUCCUGGGGUCACUGCUGAGACAGCAGCGUGAACAAGGGCAAAGAGACCCCAGAGACUGCAUCUGAACGGUCGGAACCCCAGGGCUUUAAACCCUUUGCUCCAAUGAGCUUAGAGCCAUAAUAUGAUAAUCCAAAAUGAUGAGAGAGUAAGUGGCAAGUAUACCUAGACAUAUUCUGAGCCCAGCAGACAGAAUUUUGGUUUAAGGAGCACCUGGGUAGUUUAAUGACACAUGCUAUUUUUUCUAUAUAGGCAUCAUAGUCUAUGAAUUGUAACAAUUCAUCCUAUCUCAAGAAGAUGGAGGUAUUUUAGAUAUAUGUGUAUAUAUUUGAAAUCAAAACUGUUUAUUUUGUAUAAGUUUUUUUGUGUCUAUUAGUUUCUGAAUAUCUGUGUAUAAAAACUUCUGUUUCUUUGCCUGUAUACAUUCUUGGAUAUGCACAUAUACACCUAUGUGGGAUGGGUUAGGGUCAUGUGCGUAUUUGUUUGCAUUUAUCUUGCUUUGGUCUUAGGAAGGGAUCUUGGUGAUCAUCCUAGCUCAACUCUUUCACCUCACUGGUGAAGAAACUGAAGUCCAGAAAGGCAAGGUGACUUGUCACAGGUCACACAGCCGGCUAUGGAGACAGAAAUGAACCAAGAACCUAGGAUUUCAAUUUGUAGAUGAGGACCCUUUCUGUAAUAUUAAAAUCAAUUGUAAACCUGGGGGAAGGAAGGAGGGAGAUCCUUUUUUUUUCCUCCCCCAAUCGAUACAUAAGUACUAAGAAGCUCAAUCUUGAAUUAGCUGUAGAAUAUCAAAAGUUAAGUUUUUCACACCGACCUGGUUCAGUAUUGAUUCCUUUUAUGAAAACUCUAUUUAUACUCAAGUUGUCAAAGAAUUCCAGAGGGCAUAUGAAGCUUUUGUUAAAAUAAUUAUAAGCCUUUGUUUUUGAAGAAAAGUAUCCAAAAUAUAUAAGCUUAUUGUUUGAGUUAAACAAUAAAAACAUCUGUUGUUUCUCA
Long non-coding RNA from Sapajus apella (tufted capuchin), 1722 nucleotides. RefSeq lists it as uncharacterized. NCBI's taxonomy places the organism in Eukaryota, Metazoa, Chordata, Mammalia, Primates, Cebidae. The record is from RefSeq and is a predicted model, not a curated record. The transcript is spliced from 2 exons.